GAGUAGUAAUAGCUAAGAUCUUAAAACUCAAAAGAUUUGGCGGUAUUUUAUCUUAUUGGAGGAACCUGUUUGUUAAUUGAUAUUCCACAACUAAAUUUACUUUUAUUAAUUUACUUGUAUACCGCCGUCAUGAAUAUAUUAAUAAAUUUAUUUUCCGGUUUUUAUAAAUUUCAUGUUAGGUCAAGGUGCAGUUUGUAAAGAUGAAAAUGGGUUACUUUGUUUAUUAUGAAUGUUUUUUGAAAAAGGAUUCAAAAGUAAUUUUAAUAGAAAUAAUAUGAAUAAAGAUUCUAAAAUAUG
RNAcentral lists this ribosomal RNA (297 nucleotides) under Trioza machilicola. RNAcentral describes it as "partial 12S ribosomal RNA". Lineage: Eukaryota; Metazoa; Arthropoda; Insecta; Hemiptera; Triozidae. The record is from RNAcentral.